This is a long non-coding RNA of Esox lucius (northern pike), 550 nucleotides long. The record is from Ensembl. Lineage: Eukaryota; Metazoa; Chordata; Actinopteri; Esociformes; Esocidae.
GGAAGUGACACCACUCUAUUGGAUACUCUUGUUGUUUAUCUCUGGACUGACUUCAGUGUUGUUUAUCUCUGGACUGACUUCAGGUCAGUCUCCAGCCUCUCUGAUUGUCAGACCCAACAGAUCUCAGUUCUUUGAAUAUAAAUCUGUCUCUCUGAGCUGUGAGGUUCAGGGUGGUUCUACUGGAUGGAGAGUGGUGAGGAACCCAACAAGUGGAAACCUUACAAGAUGUGGUGAUGGAUGGGGGAGGUUUGAUGGAACCAACUGCAUCAUCUCCUCAACCAAAUCAGUAGACAGUGGAGAGUACUGGUGUCAGUAUGAGUCUGGAGAACACAGUAAUACUGUCAAGAUCAUAGUAACGGGUAUGGUACUGAUCACCAUUUACUAACAUCACAGUGCAUGUUAUGUGAAUAAUCACCAUAUACUAACAUCACAGUACAUGUUGUGUUGAUAAUCACCAUCUACUAUCACAGGCGAUGGAAUAUUACUAUAUGUACUAUUUACUAACAUUGCAGUUCAAAUUAACCUAUUAAUUUAAUUUAUUAGCCAGCCA